UGGGGAAUUUUGGACAAUGGGCGCAAGCCUGAUCCAGCCAUGCCGCGUGCAGGAUGAAGGCCUUCGGGUUGUAAACUGCUUUUGUACGGAACGAAAAGACUCCUUCUAAUAAAGGGGGUCCAUGACGGUACCGUAAGAAUAAGCACCGGCUAACUACGUGCCAGCAGCCGCGGUAAUACGUAGGGUGCGAGCGGUAAUCGGAAUUACUGGGCGUAAAGCGUGCGCAGGCGGUUAUAUAAGACAGAGGUGAAAUCCCCUGGCUCAACCUGGGAACUGCCUUUGUGACUGCAUAGCUAGAGUACGGUAGAGGGGGAUGGAGUUCCGCGUGUAGCAGUGAAAUGCGUAGAUAUGCGGAGGAACACCGAUGGCGAAGGCAAUCCCCUGGACCUGUACUGACGCUCAUGCACGAAAGCGUGGGGAGCAAACA
This 427-nucleotide ribosomal RNA is filed under the name uncultured bacterium. RNAcentral describes it as "bacterial SSU rRNA". It matches the Rfam family "Bacterial small subunit ribosomal RNA", at positions 355 to 774 of the family's 1533-position model. The record is from RNAcentral.